This 410-nucleotide ribosomal RNA is filed under the name Flavobacterium sp. R-22859. RNAcentral's name for it is "bacterial SSU rRNA". It matches the Rfam family "Bacterial small subunit ribosomal RNA", at positions 28 to 440 of the family's 1533-position model. Lineage: Bacteria; Pseudomonadati; Bacteroidota; Flavobacteriia; Flavobacteriales; Flavobacteriaceae. The record is from RNAcentral.
GAUGAACGCUAGCGGCAGGCUUAACACAUGCAAGUCGAGGGGUAGGAUUCUUCGGAAUCUGAGACCGGCGCACGGGUGCGUAACGCGUAUGCAAUCUGCCUUUCACAGAGGGAUAGCCCAGAGAAAUUUGGAUUAAUACCUCAUAGCAUAAUGAGUUGGCAUCAGCACAUUAUUAAAGUCACAACGGUGAAAGAUGAGCAUGCGUCCCAUUAGCUAGUUGGUAAGGUAACGGCUUACCARGGCAACGAUGGGUAGGGGUCCUGAGAGGGAGAUCCCCCACACUGGUACUGAGACACGGACCAGACUCCUACGGGAGGCAGCAGUGAGGAAUAUUGGUCAAUGGGCGCAAGCCUGAACCAGCCAUGCCGCGUGCAGGAUGACGGUCCUAUGGAUUGUAAACUGCUUUUGUA